Molecule: long non-coding RNA, 732 nt
Organism: Chenopodium quinoa (quinoa)
Lineage: Eukaryota; Viridiplantae; Streptophyta; Magnoliopsida; Caryophyllales; Amaranthaceae
Exons: 3
Source: RefSeq, a predicted model, not a curated record
UCAAUCUAAAUAUAUAAAUAUGUAGCAUGCGAUCCACGAGCAAAUUAAUAAACAAAUAAAAACCUGAUGAUUGCUUUAUUUCCGCACCAAAUUCAUCUUGACAAAAAAUGAUCAUUCCCUCUUUUUAAAUUCCUCUGCUCCCGCCUCAUCUCCACUUUCCACCUUUCUCACUCUUCCUUCUUCCUCUAUCUUUGUCAUUUGAAGCUUCAUAACCUCCAUCAAUGGCGUCAACUGUUACACUCAACUCCAUUGAAGCUCAGAAAUUCGAGAACCUUCCUUCUGCUAUCUCCGGCCUCAACCAAAUCAGGUUGUUGAUGGAGUUCAGGUUCUUUAACUAGAAACAGCUACUGGUGCUGCAAUUAAGUUCUUUGGUAAUGCUAUUGGUAUAAAUGUGCCUUGCUCGAUCACGAUUUGCUCCUUGUCCAGGUUACUUAACCUACAAUUAGAAAUGUUACUAAUUUGUAUUCUAAUACAUGACAUGUUUUACAAUGUUAUUUGGUUUACUACAGUUGGAUCUGUACACUGUUGUUAAUGGCUUUGUGAUAAAGAACCGGGCUAAAAUCAACCCCACUUCAGGAAAGUUCUUUGAUUUUUGAUGGUUUUAGGUUCUUAGUUAAAAUUAAAUGUUCGUAUGAGCAGGUCAGCAACUUCUUUAGCCAGUUUACGUUUAAACCUGUACCACUGAGCUAGAUUGAUUUAAGGUGACAAGAGAUAUGUGGUUUGGUGCUGAAA